Molecule: long non-coding RNA, 2823 nt
Organism: Ruditapes philippinarum (Manila clam)
Lineage: Eukaryota; Metazoa; Mollusca; Bivalvia; Venerida; Veneridae
Exons: 3
Source: RefSeq, a predicted model, not a curated record
GUCCCUAGAUUUGCCACUACUUGCCAGCUAUUUCCACUGAAAAGGGUGGCAUUUAGUGUAAAAAAGGUGGCAUUAACUGGAAAAUGACAAAAUUCCACUCUUUUUCCACUGUAGUGGCAAAUUUACCACCAAAUGCCACUAUCCUUUGGUGGCAUUUAGGUGGUAAUUGAGUGGAAACUUGAACAUAGACUUUUGUCAUGGUGGCAAAAGGGUGGAAAUUGGUGGAAAAUGAAACUUAGUUUAUUUUGAAGGUGGAAAAUGAGUGGCUUUUAGUGGAAAAGUGAAACUCUAACUAUUUUCUGGGUGGCAAAUUAGUGUAAAAAAACUUAGAAAAUUUUGCGAGUAACUUUUAGUCAAAAAGCAGAAGAGCAGGAAAAAUUAGAAAAGUAUUGGGGUAAUUUUCCAUAUUUUAAGGCAGUACUUUUCUUUAUAGAUGUAAAAUUUGACUUAGAGUCAAAAAUGCCUAUGUUCCAUUCUACCCUUGUAAAAUAAAUUUACGGCUGUAAAAGUGUACUUAGAUUUUUUAGUUGCAAUCUGUACAUUAAAAAGUUGUCAUGUUAUUCUUUGCCCAGAAAAUGCAUUUUUUCUGCUUCUCCUAUGAUAUUUAAUGUCAAUCUUGAAUAAAGUUAGACUUUGAUCUUUUCCUCUAAUUGAGAUUUAAUUGUCUCUUUAAUAUUAGUUUAAACUGAUAUCUGGUGAGUACUGACACUUUUCAUGAUAUGCUAACAAUGAUUUAAGUGAGAAAUGCAAAGGGCAAUAACUCCAAAAUUAUGCAAAAGAGUUAUGGUUCUUAAACACUGUACAUUACUCAAAAAGAUCUAUAUCUAUGAAGUUUCAAAUUAAUAUCUCCAAUACUUUUUAAGCAUAAUAAUCAAGACAAAAAUUAAGCAUGGAGAAGUAACAAAAUGGCAAUAAACCCAGGAUCAUGCAAAAAAGAGUCAUGGUUCCUAGGCAUUGCACUUCUCAUAAAUGAGAUCUACUUAAAUGUGGAGUUUAAAAUUAUUGUCUCUAAAACUUUUUGUGCUAUGCUUUGCAGACGAAAACUUACAAAGGGCAAUAACUUCAUAACAUUGCAGGAGAAAGUUAUUUUUAAGAAGAAAAAAACAUGAAUCAAACUUGUUAACAAUAAUAUUUAAAUGCUAUUUAAUAAGUAUACAUAUAUAAUAGCUCAGCCUUCAAGAUAAUGAUACAUUAAGCAUACAUUUAAUACCUCACUCUACCAAGUCUGUGUAUGAAAAUAAGUCAUACACAAUUUAGUAUGUCUUUCAGAGGCUUUAAAUCUAUUGUAAAAAUAAUUGUGUGAAAAAUAAAUUGCUCAUAAUGCCUGAUAAUUUCUUAUAAUCAGGUUAAGUAAAGUAAAUACUAGCUAGGAAAUACUGCAUCCACUAAGAUUUAACAACACACACAUACAUUACAGAUCUGAUAAAACUACUGCCCUCUUAUCUUAUAAUCUAUGCAUUGGGGUUAAUAGUUUACUCAUGCUGACCAGACUGUUCCAUUUGAUUAUUUUGGGAAAGGCAACAUUAUACAUGUUAUAUGUAGAAUCUGUGUUAAAAUAGCAUGCUAAAUUAUCUUUCAAAAAUUUAUUUCUACUCAAUCUAUGUAGGUAUAAGACAUAGUUUAUACAUUCAAAUGAAUGUAAAAAAUAAAAUGAUGGGUGCUAUGGUUUUUGGAUAAUACCUCACAGUUUAAAAUUAUAAUGGAACUGUCCAUGGCAGUUAUACAGUUGUAAAGUUUGAAUUCAAAGGAAUUCAGGUCAGUUAGCAUGCAAACACAAAGGAAAUGAUUGAUAUUGUAGCAAUUAUGGAGAUAUCUUUUUUAAAUGUAAGGGUGCAUAUAUUUGACUUCUCAAAGAAAACAUUAAAAGUCUUAAUAGUGUAGUAAUUAGAAAUGAGAAGUUUUAACUGAGGCGUGAAUGUGUAGAUUAAAACAUGGGACAAGAAUAUAAACAGCAGAAUCAUUCCAAGUCAAAGUCUCAGGUAAACAACUUUUACAUACAUUUAUGCAGAAACAGUUAAGCUUUUUAACAAAAAAAUAUGAAGUGUUAUUGUAUAAAAUUAGGUUUUAAAUUUGUUUUUUUUUCAACUUGACUAUUUCAAACAGAAAGCUGCAUGUAUAUAUAAAGAAUGUUACGUGGGAAGAUCUUGACUUUAUCAUGAUUUCUUAAAUAAAGAAUGUUAGAAAUUUUAAGUUUGAGAAAAAAAAUGAUAGAAAUUAAUCAGUAAGUACAAUAUCAUUAUGUAUAAUAUUACAUAAAUCAAACUAUAGAUAACCAGGUACUUAUAUUACUACAACUUUCAUGCUAUAAACAUUUUUCAUGUGUGUCACAUGUAGAGCAGAUCAACAUUAACUGUUUAAUUAGUAAGUUUCAUUCCUUCAGUAUUGUAAUUCAGCUUUCAUGGUGCAGAAGAUAUAUAACCAUAACUAGACAGUCUAAAGUAACAAGCUGUUUAGGAGAAUAGCAGCUCAUGAAACACAAUUAUUCUUUUGCAGUGACAAAGCAAUGAGGAGCUGCCUGGAGCAAUGCACAUGUUCUUCAGUGACUUUACAAAGGACCCAGUGAUGGCAGAACUGAGGCACUAUGCCUCACCUGAGAAGGGUACAACAAGGUUCUUCAGAAUUCUUUUCAAUAUAGAAGAGAUUAAAGGCCGCUCAUAGUUUGGUAUGAGGAAAAGGAAGAGAGAAUCUGACGCUAGGCCUGCUCGUGCAGACAAAGCAAAACUUAAGUUCUUGGAAGAUUGUGUGCUGGAAAAGUGGCCAACAACCCCAGGAAUUGAAAUCUGGAGGGUGAUUCGGCACCUCCUCAAACCAUCCAGGAAUAGC